AUACGGAGGGUGCAAGCGUUAUCCGGAUUUAUUGGGUUUAAAGGGUCCGUAGGCGGAUCUGUAAGUCAGUGGUGAAAUCUCAUAGCUUAACUAUGAAACUGCCAUUGAUACUGCAGGUCUUGAGUAAGGUAGAAGUAGCUGGAAUAAGUAGUGUAGCGGUGAAAUGCAUAGAUAUUACUUAGAACACCAAUUGCGAAGGCAGGUUACUAUGUCUUAACUGACGCUGAUGGACGAAAGCGUGGGGAGCGAACAGGAUUAGAAACCCCGGUAGUCC
This 274-nucleotide ribosomal RNA is filed under the name uncultured bacterium. Its description in RNAcentral is "partial 16S ribosomal RNA". It matches the Rfam family "Bacterial small subunit ribosomal RNA", at positions 523 to 796 of the family's 1533-position model. The record is from RNAcentral.